CUACGGGCGGCAGCAGUGGGGAAUAUUGGACAAUGGGCGAAAGCCUGAUCCAGCCAUGCCGCGUGUGUGAAGAAGGCCUUCGGGUUGUAAAGCACUUUCAGUGGGGAAGAAAGCCUUGGGGCUAAUACCCUCGAGGAAGGACAUCACCCACAGAAGAAGCACCGGCUAACUCCGUGCCAGCAGCCGCGGUAAUACGGAGGGUGCGAGCGUUAAUCGGAAUUACUGGGCGUAAAGCGCGCGUAGGCGGUCUGAUAAGCCGGUUGUGAAAGCCCCGGGCUCAACCUGGGAACGGCAUCCGGAACUGUCAGGCUAGAGUGCAGGAGAGGAAGGUAGAAUUCCCGGUGUAGCGGUGAAAUGCGUAGAGAUCGGGAGGAAUACCAGUGGCGAAGGCGGUCUUCUGGACUGACACUGACGCUGAGGUGCGAAAGCGUGGGUAGCAAACAGGAUUAGAUACCCUGGUAGUC
Molecule: ribosomal RNA, 464 nt
Filed under: Vreelandella stevensii
Lineage: Bacteria; Pseudomonadati; Pseudomonadota; Gammaproteobacteria; Oceanospirillales; Halomonadaceae
Description: partial 16S ribosomal RNA
Rfam family: Bacterial small subunit ribosomal RNA
Source: RNAcentral